UGGCAUACUAGAAAAAGACCAAAUACAAGCCAUCAGGAAAGGCACCAGCACUAGUGUCCACUGCUCCCACCUGUCAACUGGAAACUGGUUAUCAACCAGAAUUCUUGUUCUCAUAGCAAAUUUUACAUUAGAUACUUCUGUUCAGCCCUGGAUUCAGAAUUGAGCUUUACUUAUUUUUGUUUCCAUUUUAAAAUGGAUUCUUCUUGUCUUUUGUAGUUGGUUUUUUUUUUUUCCUAAUGCAAGCACUUAGAUAAAAUGGAUUGUAAGGCUGAGUUGUAGUUACAUUUGUUGUUGUAGUUAGAUCUGAUCAGUCCAGAUCAGCUGAAGUAGUCCUGGUUUGGAUUUUUCUUUUCUUUAAAAAGAACAAAGGAUUCUAGUUUCAGCAAACAGCUACUAGAGUGAUGUAUUUUAAACAGACGUACCUUAUUACCAUCACAGAGCAAAAGCACUCUCAUUAAAUUCAAAUGCAUAUUCCCCACAGCUUUUUUUAAACACUGGAACAGUUUCAACACUGCAAUUGUGAGAAGUGGAAAGAGAGAGGAUGAUUUUUCACUGAGCAGAAAGCUAGCACACAAGUACCAUCUAACUUCUCUCAAUGUCAUUGGGCAACUCAGAGGGUUAAUUUUCUUUAAACAUCCAGGGUAGCUUUUCCUUUUUCUGCAGUCAGUUCCAUUGUCCACACUGACCUACUGCUGUCAUGCUACCUCCAUAGAAAAAAAAAAGCCUCUCCUGUUCUCCCCAAGAGCACAGCUCCCACAGUCCGUAGGUAUCUGUAGUGGUAUCAGCACUGCUGUUAACACUACCACACAGGUUACAUAUGUGCAUGGCUGCUUAAGGGUGCUAUGACACUUCCUUGAGGACAGAUAUAACCAAGUCCUGGUUUCAGCAUAAUUUAUUAUUUCUGGGUUAAUAUGUGUGCAAGCUGAAAGGGUUAAAUGCCCCAGAUGCAAAUCACCCAUGCUGUGAAAAUGGCACUAGGAAUACUGGGACAGAAACUAGACCUUGUGCUUCUGGAGGAGCUUGUUUUAUAAGCCAUGAAGAGUUAAGGUGAGUUUUCACUUACUCUGUCUGCCCCUUCUGCUUAAUCCUCUGCUAUUGGCUUUAUUGCAGGGUGCUGAAGUGGAACAAAGGGGUCCUCCUGCCCCAGGCAGAAGCCUCUUCACUGGAAACACAUGGUCUGCCAUGCCUUGCAGGGACCCAGGUACGUGUGUGCUUCCAGCCCCACUGGCCUUUCCCAGGUUCAUAUCCCCUGUUAGCACUUCAGUCGUGCAAGGUGUUGAAAAGCAGCUCUGCGUCUGAACCUCAUUAACAAAAAUAAGAAUAUAUAAGCUGCUGACAGGGCAAACCCAGACGUCUACGCAUAAGUGACCAGCCGUGACUACAGAAGCGAGAGUGUAAAUACAAUGACAAGCAAAUAGCGGUGGCUUUUGCCCUUUAUUGGGAGAAGUAUCUGCUUUGGCAUGCUCCCAAACCCAUCACUGCGGGUUUCGUGUGGUAAGGAGCCCUACCAAUGAUGGGAGAUGAUGAACAGCAAAAACUGACUUGCUGUCUUCAUGCUGCUUGGCGAAUGUCAUUCAAAAAGCCUGCUUCAUCUCUCCCGUGUACAGGUUAUAUGAUACCUUUGAGCUACUUGACCUGGGACACCUUUUCCACCUCUACCCCAUCCUUGAGACUGGGAGCCAGGGCUGCGCACAGUGUUAACAGUGCAGGCAUGCCACUAGUGCCUGGCCUGGCAUGACUGUUUUCUGCUUUUUCAUUGCGCUUCUCAUCAUUUGUAGUAUUUCAUGCUGGAAAGUAUUAUAUACUUGUUUUCAUAGUUGUUUGUUUAGCACUGUAUUCUCUUUCCCAAGCGGAACAGUCAGCUCAGAGGUCAUCACCAUACACAUGACUUAGCAUGCCAUGUUCUUGCCACAUGUAUCACUCCACAUGUGCUGCUCUGAACCUCACUUUGACAGGAUAACUGUCUGAGUGUCCCAAAGCAUUUGGAAACCAUCAGUUAAGCUUGAAAGUGCUCAGCAGAGGCAGACCAGUAUUAUCAACCCUGCAAAUGAAGGCAGGCAGGGACACAGGAUAAGUAACUUGUCUGAAGCCACAUGGGAAAUCAGUGGCAGAGCUGGGAAUAGUCCAAAUCCCGCUUGCUCUACCCAGCAAACUCUCCCUCUAGUAUGCAAGUAGCUUGAGAUACAAAUAAUGCUUUUGGAAAGAAGAGGCCUAUCUGCUCCUGUAUGUGUGUCAGCAAUGUUCAGGGAGCCGACGAGGACCGACACCUUCUUGUGCUCCUCCCUUCUCCAGAGCUUUGUAAAACACCUGUUCCUGCUUUCAAGAUUCCUCCAGCCUGUCAAAGUAUAUACAGAAGCUUGGGUACAGAUGCUCAGCCCAGUCUAGCAGUGAUCCUAGGGAGCUCUCCUGGGGAUCCAUAGUGAGGUCCAGCCCAGAAAAUGGCAAGUGCUUUCCAGAGCCUUGCACUGGUGAGGAACCCAGCUUGGGCCACAGCCAGGGACCCAGCAGAGUGCAUUUAUAAACUGCUCUGCCACCAGUGCUGGGUCUGCUGUUAUGACUCACCUGGGAAAGGAGCAGUGAAUGUUGUGUUAUUUCAUAUUAAGCAUACAAGCUCUAUUCACAUGUGCAGGUAGGUGAUGUAAGCUGACCUCUGUGUGUAACAGAUGUCUGUUCAAUUAAAACCAAAACAAACUCUGUUUUUAUUUUAAAAAAAUCCCUAAGAGUCUACUAUGUCUUGGAAAUAGGAAGUGUGACCUUAUUUAGCUUUAGUAUAUUUACUUAAAAUCUUUCAAAUGACAUAAUUUUUUUUAAAUGAAAGAAAAGCUCUGCAGAGGCAGCACUGGACAAUAUACAGGGGUAGGUAAGUUUGCAUACAAUAACAACAUGAAUGUGAAAUUUCUGUUUGCAAGUGGUUUGCUUACAUGGGAAACCUGUCAUGUUUUCCCUUGAACUGAUGGUUUAGCAACAGUGGUCUAUGGACAGAGUGGUUUUGCCUACCUCCUACCACCUGUCUAAAGAAAAUUAAAGAAAGUGAUUAAUCUGGUAUUAUUUAAGACUUGUUAGUUUAUAUGCAGUCUCACUAUGCCUGCCACUUUUAAAAUACAAAGCGCUGGUUGUGAGGUGCAGCAAGGCUUUUACACAAAGCAAAGUCUAAGAGUACAGUACAAUGAAUUUACUGGAUUCACUUUUCUUCAAAAGGACCAGAACCAUCUGGAGAGUCAGAAACAUAGCAGUAUCUCCACUUAGAGAAGGCUGUGUCUGAGGAUCUUGGAAGACUCCCUUCACAUGACAUACCUGCCCUAGCUUCCAAGAUGCAGAACAUCGCCACUCUUAGGAAAGCUGGUGCUGUACCAAGAAGCCAAACCAAGCCCCAGGACAGCACAAGCCAAGUCUACAGCCUCCUGCCUGUUGGAGCCUCUGAUGUGCCAGCCAGCACAGACCUGCACCUUGGGUUAUUGCAGAGACCACCAGAACACUGCCAGCUCAGAGGCAAAGCUCUCCCAGUCCCACAACCAUGACACUAAGCUGCCUGAUCACCAGCACUUGCUUCAGCCAUUGCAAACCUCACCAGCAUCCCUCUUUCUCCUCACCACUGCUGUGAAAAGCACAAUGUCAACCACAGGAGUAAUACCUGGAGAAGUUUCUGAAGUGCUGUUUUCUUAACUGCUCGGUAUGUGCUAGACACCUUCUUAUUAUUUAGAGAAUGCCCAACUGGAGAAGUGUUUACAGCUGACACACCUGAACCAGAACUUGCCCAACAGAUGCAGGAAUCUCUACUCAGUUCUCCUGGGGGGCAGGGGGGGAAUGGGGUGUGGGGUGUUCUUAGACAUACUUCUCUUUGUUGGUGCUUACUCCUCUACCCAUGGAGAACCAAGACCUCAAGGGGUGAUCAAGAAGCCAAGCUCAUCAAUUAAGGGUAUAAGAAACCUUUCUGUUACCAAGUGAAUAAAGUAACACCUGACAGGUA
This is a long non-coding RNA of Falco peregrinus (peregrine falcon), 3967 nucleotides long. RefSeq lists it as uncharacterized. The transcript is spliced from 2 exons. NCBI's taxonomy places the organism in Eukaryota, Metazoa, Chordata, Aves, Falconiformes, Falconidae. The record is from RefSeq and is a predicted model, not a curated record.